UCUAACAAAUAAUGUGCGCGUCGUUUUUACGAGCGAUGUGCACACGUUGAUGAGCUUUUCCGAAAAAACCAGGUUUUUUUUGGUGGCGCAUAAUGAACAGCGUGGGCUUUUUCUUCGAUUCUCGUGUAGUAAAUUUCCAAACAACGCUUGGGUUGAGAAAAAGUGCGUGCCGCGCAAUGGGUGUGGCGAAUUUACCCCUGCCCCAAUGCCACUCUUUCCCUGCGAAAGAACAAUCUUUUAU
Molecule: unclassified non-coding RNA, 241 nt
Filed under: Paraglomus laccatum
Lineage: Eukaryota; Fungi; Glomeromycota; Glomeromycetes; Paraglomerales; Paraglomeraceae
Description: partial internal transcribed spacer 2
Source: RNAcentral